CGGGGAAAGAUCCUUUGGAAUCCGCCUUUGAGUCUGAGCGAACUCUCUCUUCGGAGGGAGGAAUUCUCGGAUAAGGGCUUUACGACCGCGAGGUUCUGAGGCUUAAAGGGGGCAAUCCCUCCUGCUCAUCGAUGAGCCAAAGUCGGAUUAGGUAGUUGGGGUGGGAAGGGCUCCCCAAGCCGAUGAUCCGUAGCGAGUUUGGAAGAACGGCUCGCUCCAGUGGGACUGAGACACGGCCCACACUCUUUUAGAGGCAGCAGUGAAGAAUCAUAGUCAAUGCGCGCAAGCGUGAACUUGCGAUCCGCCAAAUCCGAUGACAGAAUCUU
Molecule: ribosomal RNA, 326 nt
Filed under: uncultured bacterium
Lineage: Bacteria
Description: bacterial SSU rRNA
Rfam family: Bacterial small subunit ribosomal RNA
Source: RNAcentral